UACGAACUGUGCAAACGUUAUUCGGAAUCACUGGGCUUAAAGGGUGCGUAGGCGGCUCGUUAGGUAGGGUGUGAAAGCCCCCGGCUCAACCGGGGAAUUGCGCCCUAAACCGGCGGUCUGGAGUGAGAUAGGGGUGUGUGGAACUUCCAGUGGAGCGGUGAAAUGUGUUGAUAUUGGAAGGAACGCCGGUGGCGAAAGCGACACACUGGGUCUCAACUGACGCUGAGGCACGAAAGCCAGGGGAGCAAACGGG
RNAcentral lists this ribosomal RNA (253 nucleotides) under uncultured bacterium. RNAcentral's name for it is "partial 16S ribosomal RNA". It matches the Rfam family "Bacterial small subunit ribosomal RNA", at positions 524 to 776 of the family's 1533-position model. The record is from RNAcentral.